GAUGAACGCUGGCGGCGUGCUUAAAACAUGCAAGUUCAACGCAGUGGCGGAUGGGCGAGUAACACGUGAGGAACCUGCCUUUCACAGGGGAAUAACACUGGGAAACCAGUGCUAAUACCGCAUAGUGAAAGAUGGCCUCGCGCCUGAUUAGCUAGUAGGUGAGGGAACGGCUCACCUAGGUGAUGGUCAGUAGCCGGACGUAUAGUUGAUCGGCCGCAUUGGGACUGAGACACGGCCCAGAGUCCUACGGGAUGCAGCAGUGGGGAAUAUUGGGCAAUGGCGCAAGCCUUACCCAGCAACGCCGCGUGGGGGAUGAAGGCUUUCGGGUUGUAAACCUCUUUCCAUCGAACAGGGUAGGUGGAGAAGAAGCGCCGGCUAACUACGUGCCAGCAGCCGCGGUAAUUC
Molecule: ribosomal RNA, 405 nt
Filed under: uncultured bacterium
Lineage: Bacteria
Description: partial 16S ribosomal RNA
Rfam family: Bacterial small subunit ribosomal RNA
Source: RNAcentral